Molecule: ribosomal RNA, 2867 nt
Filed under: Escherichia coli 2-011-08_S3_C3
Lineage: Bacteria; Pseudomonadati; Pseudomonadota; Gammaproteobacteria; Enterobacterales; Enterobacteriaceae
Description: bacterial LSU rRNA
Rfam family: Bacterial large subunit ribosomal RNA
Source: RNAcentral
AGUCAGAGGCGAUGAAGGACGUGCUAAUCUGCGAUAAGCGUCGGUAAGGUGAUAUGAACCGUUAUAACCGGCGAUUUCCGAAUGGGGAAACCCAGUGUGUUUCGACACACUAUCAUUAACUGAAUCCAUAGGUUAAUGAGGCGAACCGGGGGAACUGAAACAUCUAAGUACCCCGAGGAAAAGAAAUCAACCGAGAUUCCCCCAGUAGCGGCGAGCGAACGGGGAGCAGCCCAGAGCCUGAAUCAGUGUGUGUGUUAGUGGAAGCGUCUGGAAAGGCGCGCGAUACAGGGUGACAGCCCCGUACACAAAAAUGCACAUGCUGUGAGCUCGAUGAGUAGGGCGGGACACGUGGUAUCCUGUCUGAAUAUGGGGGGACCAUCCUCCAAGGCUAAAUACUCCUGACUGACCGAUAGUGAACCAGUACCGUGAGGGAAAGGCGAAAAGAACCCCGGCGAGGGGAGUGAAAAAGAACCUGAAACCGUGUACGUACAAGCAGUGGGAGCACGCUUAGGCGUGUGACUGCGUACCUUUUGUAUAAUGGGUCAGCGACUUAUAUUCUGUAGCAAGGUUAACCGAAUAGGGGAGCCGAAGGGAAACCGAGUCUUAACUGGGCGUUAAGUUGCAGGGUAUAGACCCGAAACCCGGUGAUCUAGCCAUGGGCAGGUUGAAGGUUGGGUAACACUAACUGGAGGACCGAACCGACUAAUGUUGAAAAAUUAGCGGAUGACUUGUGGCUGGGGGUGAAAGGCCAAUCAAACCGGGAGAUAGCUGGUUCUCCCCGAAAGCUAUUUAGGUAGCGCCUCGUGAAUUCAUCUCCGGGGGUAGAGCACUGUUUCGGCAAGGGGGUCAUCCCGACUUACCAACCCGAUGCAAACUGCGAAUACCGGAGAAUGUUAUCACGGGAGACACACGGCGGGUGCUAACGUCCGUCGUGAAGAGGGAAACAACCCAGACCGCCAGCUAAGGUCCCAAAGUCAUGGUUAAGUGGGAAACGAUGUGGGAAGGCCCAGACAGCCAGGAUGUUGGCUUAGAAGCAGCCAUCAUUUAAAGAAAGCGUAAUAGCUCACUGGUCGAGUCGGCCUGCGCGGAAGAUGUAACGGGGCUAAACCAUGCACCGAAGCUGCGGCAGCGACGCUGAUGCGUUGUUGGGUAGGGGAGCGUUCUGUAAGCCUGCGAAGGUGUGCUGUGAGGCAUGCUGGAGGUAUCAGAAGUGCGAAUGCUGACAUAAGUAACGAUAAAGCGGGUGAAAAGCCCGCUCGCCGGAAGACCAAGGGUUCCUGUCCAACGUUAAUCGGGGCAGGGUGAGUCGACCCCUAAGGCGAGGCCGAAAGGCGUAGUCGAUGGGAAACAGGUUAAUAUUCCUGUACUUGGUGUUACUGCGAAGGGGGGACGGAGAAGGCUAUGUUGGCCGGGCGACGGUUGUCCCGGUUUAAGCGUGUAGGCUGGUUUUCCAGGCAAAUCCGGAAAAUCAAGGCUGAGGCGUGAUGACGAGGCACUACGGUGCUGAAGCAACAAAUGCCCUGCUUCCAGGAAAAGCCUCUAAGCAUCAGGUAACAUCAAAUCGUACCCCAAACCGACACAGGUGGUCAGGUAGAGAAUACCAAGGCGCUUGAGAGAACUCGGGUGAAGGAACUAGGCAAAAUGGUGCCGUAACUUCGGGAGAAGGCACGCUGAUAUGUAGGUGAGGUCCCUCGCGGAUGGAGCUGAAAUCAGUCGAAGAUACCAGCUGGCUGCAACUGUUUAUUAAAAACACAGCACUGUGCAAACACGAAAGUGGACGUAUACGGUGUGACGCCUGCCCGGUGCCGGAAGGUUAAUUGAUGGGGUUAGCGCAAGCGAAGCUCUUGAUCGAAGCCCCGGUAAACGGCGGCCGUAACUAUAACGGUCCUAAGGUAGCGAAAUUCCUUGUCGGGUAAGUUCCGACCUGCACGAAUGGCGUAAUGAUGGCCAGGCUGUCUCCACCCGAGACUCAGUGAAAUUGAACUCGCUGUGAAGAUGCAGUGUACCCGCGGCAAGACGGAAAGACCCCGUGAACCUUUACUAUAGCUUGACACUGAACAUUGAGCCUUGAUGUGUAGGAUAGGUGGGAGGCUUUGAAGUGUGGACGCCAGUCUGCAUGGAGCCGACCUUGAAAUACCACCCUUUAAUGUUUGAUGUUCUAACGUUGACCCGUAAUCCGGGUUGCGGACAGUGUCUGGUGGGUAGUUUGACUGGGGCGGUCUCCUCCUAAAGAGUAACGGAGGAGCACGAAGGUUGGCUAAUCCUGGUCGGACAUCAGGAGGUUAGUGCAAUGGCAUAAGCCAGCUUGACUGCGAGCGUGACGGCGCGAGCAGGUGCGAAAGCAGGUCAUAGUGAUCCGGUGGUUCUGAAUGGAAGGGCCAUCGCUCAACGGAUAAAAGGUACUCCGGGGAUAACAGGCUGAUACCGCCCAAGAGUUCAUAUCGACGGCGGUGUUUGGCACCUCGAUGUCGGCUCAUCACAUCCUGGGGCUGAAGUAGGUCCCAAGGGUAUGGCUGUUCGCCAUUUAAAGUGGUACGCGAGCUGGGUUUAGAACGUCGUGAGACAGUUCGGUCCCUAUCUGCCGUGGGCGCUGGAGAACUGAGGGGGGCUGCUCCUAGUACGAGAGGACCGGAGUGGACGCAUCACUGGUGUUCGGGUUGUCAUGCCAAUGGCACUGCCCGGUAGCUAAAUGCGGAAGAGAUAAGUGCUGAAAGCAUCUAAGCACGAAACUUGCCCCGAGAUGAGUUCUCCCUGACCCUUUAAGGGUCCUGAAGGAACGUUGAAGACGACGACGUUGAUAGGCCGGGUGUGUAAGCGCAGCGAUGCGUUGAGCUAACCGGUACUAAUGAACCGUGAGGCUUAACCUU